GACGAACGUUGGCGGCGUGCUUAACACAUGCAAGUCGAACGGAAAGGCCCUGCUUUUGUGGGGUGCUCGAGUGGCGAACGGGUGAGUAACACGUGAGUAACCUGCCCUUGACUUUGGGAUAACUUCAGGAAACUGGGGCUAAUACCGGAUAGGAGCUCCUGCUGCAUGGUGGGGGUUGGAAAGUUUCGGCGGUUGGGGAUGGACUCGCGGCUUAUCAGCUUGUUGGUGGGGUAGUGGCUUACCAAGGCUUUGACGGGUAGCCGGCCUGAGAGGGUGACCGGCCACAUUGGGACUGAGAUACGGCCCAGACUCCUACGGGAGGCAGCAGUGGGGAAUAUUGCACAAUGGGCGGAAGCCUGAUGCAGCAACGCCGCGUGCGGGAUGACGGCCUUCGGGUUGUAAACCGCUUUCGCCUGUGACGAAGCGUGAGUGACGGUAAUGGGUAAAGAAGCACCGGCUAACUACGUGCCAGCAGCCGCGGUGAUACGUAGGGUGCGAGCGUUGUCCGGAUUUAUUGGGCGUAAAGGGCUCGUAGGUGGUUGAUCGCGUCGGAAGUGUAAUCUUGGGGCUUAACCCUGAGCGUGCUUUCGAUACGGGUUGACUUGAGGAAGGUAGGGGAGAAUGGAAUUCCUGGUGGAGCGGUGGAAUGCGCAGAUAUCAGGAGGAACACCAGUGGCGAAGGCGGUUCUCUGGGCCUUUCCUGACGCUGAGGAGGGAAAGCGUGGGGAGCGAACAGGCUUAGAUACCCUGGUAGUCCACGCUGUAAACGGUGGGUACUAGGUGUGGGGUCCAUUCCACGGGUUCCGUGCCGUAGCUAACGCUUUAAGUACCCCGCCUGGGGAGUACGGCCGCAAGGCUAAAACUCAAAGGAAUUGACGGGGCCCCGCACAAGCGGCGGAGCAUGCGGAUUAAUUCGAUGCAACGCGUAGAACCUUACCUGGGUUUGACAUGGAUCGGGAGUGCUCAGAGAUGGGUGUGCCUCUUUUGGGGUCGGUUCACAGGUGGUGCAUGGCUGUCGUCAGCUCGUGUCGUGAGAUGUUGGGUUAAGUCCCGCAACGAGCGCAACCCUUGUUCACUGUUGCCAGCACGUUAUGGUGGGGACUCAGUGGAGACCGCCGGGGUCAACUCGGAGGAAGGUGGGGAUGACGUCAAGUCAUCAUGCCCCUUAUGUCCAGGGCUUCACGCAUGCUACAAUGGCUGGUACAGAGAGUGGCGAGCCUGUGAGGGUGAGCGAAUCUCGGAAAGCCGGUCUCAGUUCGGAUUGGGGUCUGCAACUCGACCUCAUGAAGUCGGAGUCGCUAGUAAUCGCAGAUCAGCAACGCUGCGGUGAAUACGUUCCCGGG
This 1343-nucleotide ribosomal RNA is filed under the name uncultured bacterium. RNAcentral describes it as "16S ribosomal RNA". It matches the Rfam family "Bacterial small subunit ribosomal RNA", at positions 28 to 1378 of the family's 1533-position model. The record is from RNAcentral.